CACCCCGGCCUGGCACGGCGGCCGCGGCCUCCUGGCGGACUCUGACCCCGGGCAGUGCCCCGCCGCUCUCCGCCUGGCCACGCCACCUCGCUGGCCUCGCGCCUCACCUCUUCCCAGGCGCCGGCCGAGCGAGUUGGGUCUUGCAGUCGCCCACCGCCCCGCUCUGCAGAUCGGUAGACUGAGGCCCGGCUAGGCGCGCAGCUCCGCGGGGCGGGAGUGGCUGAGCUAGGCGCUGACACGCCCUCUGUCCGCCCCAGAGGCAGCUCUUUGAGAUUCAGUCCACUCCGGCGCCCACCCCCAGGUUGUCCAGAAAGUCCACUGGGCCAGGACGGUCACCCGUGGGCCUGACCUUCGGCGGUGCUCAGGGCCGAGCCCCUGCUCCAGCCGAGCCUCUUGGGACUCGGGCCACCUCUUCCCGAGCUGCUGUGCAGGGCAAGUGUGCAAGUCCCAGCCCCCUUCCCCUCGCCGGUCCCACCCUACCUAGGCCUGAGUGACUCGCCUCACCUGCUGCGGCGUAUUCAGAGCUAGGCACGCAUUUCCGCUCACCUGAACCCCUACGCCAGCCUUCCUGGGCUCAGCCUGCACUGCCUCCUCAGGGAGCCCCACCACCACCACCACCAGCCUGCUCCCGCUGCAUUCUGGGUCCUUCUGUUGUCCUAGAUGAGGACUACCAGCGCUAGCCCAGCCCCGCGGGCUCCGUGCAGCCUCCACGCAGGUUCAGUGUCCUGUGUGCCAUCUCAGCCCCACCCCUCCAUGGCUGAGCAGUGGAGUGCCUGGCCCUGCCUAAGACCCUGGCUCUGGAGUUUAGUCUGUGAGUCUGCUCCUGCUUGACACGCCCCUAUCUAAGGCAGCGGAUUCACUGGCUCCUCAAGGCUGAAGGCAACCGGGAACCAGUACCCAUCUCUAAUCUUGCAAAGGAAUUCAGUGAGAAAUGGAAUAAAAAAAUCACCAAGCA
Heterocephalus glaber (naked mole-rat) is the source of this 955-nucleotide long non-coding RNA. RefSeq lists it as uncharacterized. Lineage: Eukaryota; Metazoa; Chordata; Mammalia; Rodentia; Bathyergidae. The record is from RefSeq and is a predicted model, not a curated record.